Molecule: long non-coding RNA, 1922 nt
Organism: Oreochromis niloticus (Nile tilapia)
Lineage: Eukaryota; Metazoa; Chordata; Actinopteri; Cichliformes; Cichlidae
Source: Ensembl
AUGUCUUACACAGUUUUACCUAGUACAGACACGUGUCAAGCAAACCCCAUACUCAUAUUCUACAGUUAUCAUGAAAUACUUAUCAUAAUCAACAACAGUCACACAAAUAUAAUAAACAUAAACUGCAUUUCUUCCCUUAAAACACGGAUUGAAGUCGUCAUAAACCCAGUCACUGCAGCAGUCAUUAGUCAGUCAUGAGUAAACAGGAAAUGUCAAUCUAAAUAAGUCACAGGCAUCUCAUUUGCAUAGACACAGACACACAGUCUCAAAUUAACCUGCCUUCUGCUUUCUCAGUGGCAGACACAGUGUACAUACAAACUUUCAAAUUAUAUUACAGAAACGUCUCACAAAUAAAAUAAUAUAUACAAGGCCUGAAAUGCACAUCCUACAAAAUUUUACGAAAUUUAAGUUAACCCUCCAAGGGAUAAACUCCAAGUUUUUUAUCAUCAAUUCACACAGUAUCAGUUCCAAACUGUAUCUGGUCUAAUUCCUAAAGUUCCUAAAUCAAUUUAAAAGCGUCCAACGCCCAAGCUCCAAGCUUUGCUACCCAAAAAGCGCAAGUACCGUUCCAAACGGUAAAGUGGUCCAACCACUAGCUAUUUUGGAGGUUCCCAAGUUCUCCACGAUUGCCAAUCGGACUAUCCCUUCCAAAGGAAAAUCCCGAGCGUCCCCAGGAAAUUUGGAGCGUCACCUCCGAGAAAUGCGCUUCUUAGCAGUCCAACUGCCGUUCUACAGAAAUUUGUAAUACUUUGAAACAACAAUCAACACCUCAGAACAAGUGUAUGACUGGCACAGGUCCAACCUUAUAACCAAUUGGGAGUGUAACCCCCAAAACGCCCAAUUACCUAUUAUUCUAAAUUCUCUUUAUUCUAAAUCCUCUUUAUUCUAAAUCCUCUUUGCUUAGCAGUCCAACUGCUUUUUCUUUAAUCAGUACUGUCACUUAACCUUACAUUAUCAUUACUUCAACUUCAAUUCUCAUGAGAUUUUCACCAAAAUCAAAACAGACCUUUACCAGUAAUUUCAGUGAGUAGACUUUCAAUUUUGUCAGAACCAAUUCAGCACUGUUUGGAAAUAAUUCAACAGGUAGUGCCUUACCUUUGAAUAAGCCGGCUUAUGUCAACUCACUUCGACCACUGACUCGUGUCUGCCCGUUUGAGCACCUCGGACCCUCUCGGUCUCAAUCUCCAACUCUCUCCAGUCAACCCCGGCCAAUGCACCAAAUGUUACGAGUUCGAAAUUGUGGAUGAGAGUAAAACAAUGAUAGUCCAGAAGAGGUCGUUCAAACAAUUGAUUUUAAUGCACGCAGCGUGGAGAGGUGUAAACUGCAAAACAGUUGUACAUCUCUACCCAAAAUACACUCUAGAUUGCUUUUAUAACAUCAGGGUAUUGUAACGCCCCUUCUUGCGUUUACAAGCACAUAAUUUGCAUGUACAGAACAUUCAUGUAUUUUAAGAAUUAAAUGCAAACACAGAGGUUCCUCCUUGUGGCAUACUCUUCCAAAUAUGGUGAUGAUCUCAGGCCUUUGAGGUCACAAGAAGCUGAAUACAUUCAGGCCUUUACUCAGCUACUAUUUUACUGUAACAAUAUACUCAGCAUAUGAGUUUUGAUAUAUAUAUUUAACUCAAUCAUUUUAAAGUAGUUAUAACUGCACCUGUAAUAAACAUGUUAAUAUUUGAUUAUGAUAACCCCUAUAAUAUAAAUUAUAACAUAAUGCCAGCAGCUUCAAUAAACGCUUUGAUGAACUGAUAAUUAAUGCAAUGAUAAGAUGAUGGUUAUGUAAAAUAAUCCCUGUAAUUCCACACCCCCUAAACUUCUGAGCAAGCAACAAGUACGCUGCCCAGGAAUGUGAAAUUCACAGAGAAACUCCCAGAUCUUUCCACUUACAUGACCGCUGCGGCAAUCCUGCACCAGGGUAAACUCCG